This is a non-coding RNA of Diceros bicornis minor, 72 nucleotides long. NCBI's taxonomy places the organism in Eukaryota, Metazoa, Chordata, Mammalia, Perissodactyla, Rhinocerotidae. The record is from the annotation of a RefSeq genome assembly.
GGGGGCGUAGCUCAGGGCUAGAGCGUUUGGCUGCAGAGCAAGAGGUCCCCGGUUCAACUCCGGGCGCCCCCU